GCCGGUUCCUCUGUGCAAAACUUGAUGCAGCUUGGAUAGCAUCUCUAAAUUGCCUUGUUCGACUAGUUGCAUGAACAACCAAGUUGGUCAUAUUUCCAAUUAAAUAUGAUGUGAGUCCAAGAUCAAACAUCAUGUAGCACAUUACAAAUAUCAUCUCUCUUUCAUUUACUGCAUGCAGAUCACCAUAGCCAGUGGUAGUGAGCGUGGUUAUCGACCAGUAAAGUGAUGUCACAUAACGGGCCCACAAGCUUUCCUUCUCAAAGUGUAUCCAUACGGACCCAAUCCAUGUCUUUUCUGGGUCAUAAUAAGAUAAAGCAAGACGAUAGUAAAAGCAACCAGCAAUGUUAAUUACAAGGAGGGUAACACAAAUGAGCUUCAAGCACCGUACCCAAAAGUAGCUAAAGU
RNAcentral lists this unclassified non-coding RNA (405 nucleotides) under Hevea brasiliensis (rubber tree). Lineage: Eukaryota; Viridiplantae; Streptophyta; Magnoliopsida; Malpighiales; Euphorbiaceae. The record is from RNAcentral.